This 356-nucleotide ribosomal RNA is filed under the name Deltaproteobacteria bacterium. Its description in RNAcentral is "bacterial SSU rRNA". It matches the Rfam family "Bacterial small subunit ribosomal RNA", at positions 1 to 337 of the family's 1533-position model. The record is from RNAcentral. Lineage: Bacteria; Pseudomonadati; Myxococcota; Myxococcia.
UAAUUGGAGAGUUUGAUCCUGGCUCAGAAUGAACGCUGGCGGCGUGCUUAACACAUGCAAGUCGCACGAGAACGCUUUAGCUUGCUAGAGCUAGUAAAGUGGCGCACGGGUGAGUAACGCGUGGGUAAUCUACCCCUGAAUUUGGGAUAACAUUGCGAAAGCGAUGCUAAUACCGGAUAAUAUCAUAAUAAUUGCGGUUAUUAUGAUCAAAGGUGGCCUCUAUAUAUAAGCUACUGUUUGGGGAUGAGCCCGCGUACCAUUAGCUUGUUGGUAGGGUAAUGGCCUACCAAGGCAACGAUGGUUAGCUGGUCUGAGAGGAUGAUCAGCCACACUGGAACUGACACACGGUCCAGACU